CUGCCUGCCCAGUGACUAGAAGUUAAACGGCCGCGGUAUCUUGACCGUGCGAAGGUAGCAUAAUCACUUGUCUCCUAAAUAGAGACUGGUAUGAAUGGCAAGACGGAACUUUACUGUCUCCUCCUCUUCAAUUCGAACUUCACAAUCCCGUGAAGAGGCGGGAAUUAACUCGUAAGACGAGAAGACCCUGUCGAGCUGUAGUAAAACUUAGACUAUUAUUCACCUUAAAUCUUAGCUAAUACAAUAUAAUUAAUAGAUAACCAAGGCAUAGCAGGUCAAAGAAAACUUUGAUUGGGGCAAUCCCGGAGAAAGAAAAUCCUCCGUUACUAAAAGGUUCAUACCUAACUUAACUUAAAAGAACCAUAAUUCUAAAAUCACCAAAUGAAAGCAUGAUCCACUAAUAGUGAUCAAAAGAACAAGUUACCGCAGGGAUAACAGCGUAAUCUUUUCUGAGAGUUCAUAUUGACGAAAAGGUUUGCGACCUCGAUGUUGGAUCGGGACAUCCUAAGGGUGCAGAAGCUUUUAAGGGUUGGUCUGUUCGACCAUUAAAGUC
This 553-nucleotide ribosomal RNA is filed under the name Heterobrissus hystrix. Its description in RNAcentral is "Archaeopneustes hystrix partial 16S ribosomal RNA". It matches the Rfam family "Bacterial large subunit ribosomal RNA", at positions 1854 to 2595 of the family's 2925-position model. The record is from RNAcentral. Lineage: Eukaryota; Metazoa; Echinodermata; Echinoidea; Cidaroida; Cidaridae.